RNAcentral lists this ribosomal RNA (862 nucleotides) under uncultured bacterium. Its description in RNAcentral is "bacterial SSU rRNA". It matches the Rfam family "Bacterial small subunit ribosomal RNA", at positions 58 to 916 of the family's 1533-position model. The record is from RNAcentral.
CAAGUCGUGGGGCAGCGCAGUGUAGCAAUACAUGGGCGGCGACCGGCAAACGGGUGCGUAACACGUACGCAACCUUCCCGUUACUGGUGAAUAGCCCAGGGAAACUUGGAUUAAUACACCAUAUUAUAUCGACUAGGCAUCUGGUUGAUAUCAAAGCUUCGGCGGUAACGGAUGGGCGUGCGGUUGAUUGGGUAGUUGGCGGGGUAACGGCCCACCAAGCCUACGAUCAAUAGCUGAUGUGAGAGCAUGAUCAGCCACACGGGCACUGAGACACGGGCCCGACUCCUACGGGAGGCAGCAGUAAGGAAUAUUGGGCAAUGGACGAAAGUCUGACCCAGCCAUGCCGCGUGGAGGAUGAAGGUCCUCUGGAUUGUAAACUUCUUUUUUCUGGGGCGAAAACCGGUCAUUCUUGACCAUUUGACAGUACCAGAAGAAUAAGCACCGGCUAACUCCGUGCCAGCAGCCGCGGUAAUACGGAGGGUGCAAGCGUUAUCCGGAUUCACUGGGUUUAAAGGGUGCGUAGGUGGGCAGGUAAGUCCGCGGUGAAAUCCCCGAGCUUAACUUGGGAACUGCCGUUGAUACUAUCUGUCUUGAAUAUCGUGGAGGUAAGCGGAAUAUGUCAUGUAGCGGUGAAAUGCUUAGAGAUGACAUAGAACACCAAUUGCGAAGGCAGCUUGCUACACGAUAAUUGACACUGAGGCACGAAAGCGUGAGGAGCAAACAGGAUUAGAUACCCUGGUAGUCCACGCCCUAAACUAUGGAUACUCGACAUCAGCGAUACACAGUUGGUGUCUGAGCGAAAGCAUUAAGUAUCCCACCUGGGAAGUACGAUCGCAAGAUUGAAACUCAAAGGAAUUGGCGG